AACACUCUCAAAUUUUGCUGGAAUUUCAAGAACAAGGCAGAAACUUUCUAGUGCAAAAAGUUUACCAUGGGUGACCUCGGUGUUCCAUCCUCCAACUCUCCAACUUUCCACGGGAUUACCAAAGGAACGCUUUGCAAAACCGUUGAUGAGGUUGACAUUGAUCAAAUCUAGUAGGGAAGACUUCGAAACACAUUUAGAAAUACUAGAUUUCAUUAUCGUAUUAUUGUUGAAUUUUGUCGUACUUUAUCUUUUCAAUGUUGUACUUUGAUUUCAUAUGUU
This 279-nucleotide long non-coding RNA is filed under the name Helianthus annuus (common sunflower). RNAcentral's name for it is "sRNA HanXRQr2_Chr17g0791851". Lineage: Eukaryota; Viridiplantae; Streptophyta; Magnoliopsida; Asterales; Asteraceae. The record is from RNAcentral.